ACUGAGUGUGGUGGUGCACACCUCUAGUCCCAGAUACUUGGGAGGUUGAGGCAGCAGGAUCACUUGAGCCCGGGAGAUUGAGGCUGCAGUGAGCUGUGAUUAUGCCACUGCAGUCCAGCCUGGGCAAUAGAGUGAGACUCUGUCUCAA
Macaca fascicularis (crab-eating macaque) is the source of this 148-nucleotide unclassified non-coding RNA. It matches the Rfam family "Metazoan signal recognition particle RNA". Rfam says of the family: The signal recognition particle (SRP) is a universally conserved ribonucleoprotein. It is involved in the co-translational targeting of proteins to membranes. NCBI's taxonomy places the organism in Eukaryota, Metazoa, Chordata, Mammalia, Primates, Cercopithecidae. The record is from Ensembl.